GAUGGCUCAGAGGUUAAGAGCACUGACUGCUCUUCCAAAGGUCCUGAGUUCAAUUCCCAGCAACCACAUGGUGGCUCACAACCAUCUAUAAUGUGAUCUAAUGCCCUCUUCUGGCCUUUGAGCACUGUAUACAUAAUAAAUAAAAUCUUUUUUUAAAAAAA
Acomys russatus (golden spiny mouse) is the source of this 161-nucleotide long non-coding RNA. RefSeq lists it as uncharacterized. The transcript is spliced from 2 exons. NCBI's taxonomy places the organism in Eukaryota, Metazoa, Chordata, Mammalia, Rodentia, Muridae. The record is from RefSeq and is a predicted model, not a curated record.